RNAcentral lists this ribosomal RNA (439 nucleotides) under uncultured bacterium. Its description in RNAcentral is "partial 16S ribosomal RNA". It matches the Rfam family "Bacterial small subunit ribosomal RNA", at positions 338 to 795 of the family's 1533-position model. The record is from RNAcentral.
CCUACGGGAGGCAGCAGUGGGGAAUAUUGCACAAUGGGCGAAAGCCUGAUGCAGCAACGCCGCGUGAGCGAUGAAGGCCUUCGGGUCGUAAAGCUCUGUUCUCAAGGAAGAUAAUGACGGUACUUGAGGAGGAAGCCCCGGCUAACUACGUGCCAGCAGCCGCGGUAAUACGUAGGGGGCUAGCGUUAUCCGGAAUUACUGGGCGUAAAGGGUGCGUAGGUGGUUUCUUAAGUCAGAGGUGAAAGGCUAGGGCACAACGGUAGUAAGCCUGUGAAACUGGGAAACUUGAGUGCGGGAGAGGUGAGUGGAAUUCGUAGUGUAGCGGUGAAAUGCGUAGAUAUUAGGAAGAACACCGGUUGCGAAGGCAGCUCACUGGACUGUAACUGACACUGAGGCACGAAAGCGUGGGGAGCAAACAGGAUUAGAUACCCGGGUAGUC